CCCCUUCCUGCUUUGCUUGCUUAACAAUAUUACAGAUACGUCUCCUGUCUCUGUGAGCAGUAGCUCCAGGAAGACACCUCACAAGACCACCAUUGUCCAUCUCCACCCCUCUUAUGAUGGAAUCCCCCAACAACAACUGCUUUCUAUUAGGCCUCCCCAUAGUCUCCAAGCCGGUCUCCACAACACCACUAGCCUCAGUGCCUCUCUCCACAAAACCACUAGCC
Non-coding RNA from Pelobates cultripes (western spadefoot toad), 224 nucleotides. The record is from the annotation of a GenBank genome assembly. Lineage: Eukaryota; Metazoa; Chordata; Amphibia; Anura; Pelobatidae.